Long non-coding RNA from Labeo rohita (rohu), 1071 nucleotides. RefSeq lists it as uncharacterized. Lineage: Eukaryota; Metazoa; Chordata; Actinopteri; Cypriniformes; Cyprinidae. The transcript has 9 exons. The record is from RefSeq and is a predicted model, not a curated record.
GCCUUAUUACAGUAGCAGGUGGCAAGUCAACACUGUACAUUGUACCAGGAUCUCUUGAUACUUUACCACUUCCCUACCCUGCCAACGAGUUUGAAAACAUGAAUGGAAAUUUUCGACAAUUCCCAGAUAACUGGGUUCUGCCAUCAACCAGUACUGCCACCGACAUUGUGCUGAAAAACGCUCCAGAUCACACUUCUGUGACAACAGCCUGGCACUUUUUUGAGCAGUUUGACCCCAGUGACUUCUGUGGUGAAAGGUUUUCCCACGGAGCUUACGAUAUAACCAGGACCAACUUACUGCACGAUACUGAUGGAACGGAGCUACAGCCAAAACGAUUAAGGAGACAUAGAGAGAUUAAAAGCAUUACUGAUGUCAUCAAAAUCCUUGGUGAAAAUGUGGAUGAAACCAGCGACUUCAGCAUUUGCAUUAGCAGGGAUCAGAUGCUUGAGACGGGCCUGAAACAAUGGCAGCGACAGAAAAAAAUCUUCCCCCAAAAACACUCUCAGAGUUACUUUUGAGGGAGAGGAUGCAGCUGACAGUGACUCUCUAAGGAAGGAAUUUUUAACCAAAAUGGUGACAGAAAUAGAGAAGCACUUCUUUGAUGGAGGAGAAAAUGGCAAAACACCCAAGUAUUCAAUGACUGACAUGGAAAAAUACAACUUCAAGACUGUUGGGGAGAUAUUUGCUGUCAGCAUCGCACAAGGCGGGCCACCACCAAACUUUUUUACGGAGUGGUGUUAUAACUACAUAUCCACAGGAGAAACAAAUCUGGAAGUGAUAACUGAAAGCGAUGUCACAGACCCUGUACUCACGGAGCUAAUCAAAGAGAUUAAGGCCGCUGAUAACACAACCCUGAUGGAGUGCAGAGACAGGAUUUUGUUAUGCGGAUACAAAGGAGAAGUGUCCAUACAAAGAAAGGAAGACAUUGUGCGCUCUGUAGUCCUGCAUGAUAAAGUCAGGUUACUUCCCAUGCUGCAGCAAAUCUGCUCUGGAAUGAACCUGUUUGGGCUCCUCGCAUUGGUCCAGCAAGAAAAAGACAUCUGCAGACAGCUGUUUGUUCCAGCAUCUUUU